GUCAGAAUGGUAUAGUAGUUUCAGUGUCAGACUAUGACUCUGGAGACCAGAGUUUGAAUCUGUGUUCAGACA
RNAcentral lists this transfer RNA (72 nucleotides) under Anolis carolinensis (green anole). It matches the Rfam family "tRNA". Rfam says of the family: Transfer RNA (tRNA) molecules are approximately 80 nucleotides in length. The record is from Rfam by way of RNAcentral. Lineage: Eukaryota; Metazoa; Chordata; Lepidosauria; Squamata; Anolidae.